This 253-nucleotide ribosomal RNA is filed under the name uncultured bacterium. RNAcentral describes it as "partial 16S ribosomal RNA". It matches the Rfam family "Bacterial small subunit ribosomal RNA", at positions 524 to 776 of the family's 1533-position model. The record is from RNAcentral.
UACGAAGGGGGCUAGCGUUGUUCGGAAUCACUGGGCGUAAAGCGCACGUAGGCUGAUCUUUAAGUCAGGGGUGAAAUCCCGAGGCUCAACCUCGGAACUGCCUUUGAUACUGGGGAUCUCGAGUCCGGGAGAGGUGAGUGGAACUGCGAGUGUAGAGGUGAAAUUCGUAGAUAUUCGCAAGAACACCAGUGGCGAAGGCGGCUCACUGGCCCGGAACUGACGCUGAGGUGCGAAAGCGUGGGGAGCAAACAGG